GUGCUUUGAGAGCACAGACUUAAAAAUUGGAAUAACACAGAGAAUAUCAGUAUGGUCCCUGCACAAAGGUGGCAUGCACAUAUUUUCAAAAAGAAAGAAACCAU
RNAcentral lists this small nuclear RNA (104 nucleotides) under Sorex araneus (European shrew). Lineage: Eukaryota; Metazoa; Chordata; Mammalia; Eulipotyphla; Soricidae. The record is from RNAcentral.